Molecule: ribosomal RNA, 448 nt
Filed under: uncultured bacterium
Lineage: Bacteria
Description: bacterial SSU rRNA
Rfam family: Bacterial small subunit ribosomal RNA
Source: RNAcentral
CCCAGACUCCUACGGGAGGCAGCAGUGGGGAAUAUUGCACAAUGGGGGAAACCCUGAUGCAGCGACGCCGCGUGAGUGAAGAAGUAUUUCGGUGUGUAAAGCUCUAUCAGCAGGGAAGAAAAUGACGGUACCUGACUAAGAAGCCCCGGCUAACUACGUGCCAGCAGCCGCGGUAAUACGUAGGGGGCAAGCGUUAUCCGGAUUUACUGGGUGUAAAGGGAGCGUAGACGGUUCUGCAAGCCAGAUGUGAAAGCCCGGGGCUCAACCCCGGGACUGCAUUUGGAACUGUAAGGCUAGAGUGUCGGAGAGGCAGGCGGAAUUCCUAGUGUAGCGGUGAAAUGCGUAGAUAUUAGGAGGAACACCAGUGGCGAAGGCGGCCUGCUGGACGAUGACUGACGUUGAGGCUCGAAAGCGUGGGGAGCGAACAGGAUUAGAUACCCCCGUACGC